RNAcentral lists this unclassified non-coding RNA (1021 nucleotides) under Dendronephthya gigantea. Its description in RNAcentral is "transmembrane protein 39A-like, transcript variant X1". Lineage: Eukaryota; Metazoa; Cnidaria; Anthozoa; Malacalcyonacea; Nephtheidae. The record is from RNAcentral.
GAAACACUUGCUUUAUAUGACUACACAUGUUUAUAAAGUUUCAUGCAAAUAUCACUUCAUGUCGUCUUGCCUUUUGUUUUAAAUGCCACUUCACUUUAUCGUCAAGCAAAAGUAUAUUUUAUGCCUGCUGUCCGCAAAGUUGCAGCCCAUAAAAACAGCCAGUCGAGUCUGAGAAGUCAAGUUGAUUCUCGUGCUAGCAAUUUGAGGAAUGGCCAUUCAAACAUAGCAUCGCCGAUCUCUGUUAGAGCAGGUGACAGUACACAGAAUAUCAAAGGCUUCAUUUAUCAUCAAGACUGUCCAAUGACUCCCAUGUUUACAGCGAUCGGCUUUGAACUGUUUUAUUUAUUCUACGGACUCCUUGCUUUGCUAACGCAAUAUGUGAACAUUUACAAAACGAAUUACCAUUUGAUUGACUACCAAGAGGUUCUGGUGAUUGCUCUGUUUCUCAUGAGAAGAAUUGGAUGGAUUGUUUUCAAACAGGUUUUGUAUAUCAAGGAAAUCACAUCAUUACGGAUUGUUUUAGUUACAUUGUUAAAAGGACUUGGACUUGUUGGUUUAUUGGCUUGUUUUAUCUGGCUAAUACUUCAACUCUAUCGAACACACAAUCAUGAGACAUCCUGCGUUUCUGUAUCCAACGAUGACGUAUUUGUGGGUGUUUGGAUUCACAAUGGAACUGAAGCUGCAAAAAAUUCAACCGAAAGUCACGCAUCAAAUCCCCCAGUCGUACAAGAAAAGUACGUUGCGAGAUUCAGGCAACACGGACGGAGAGACAUUGCCCAGGAUGAGUCAUUGUUCAUUGUCACCAGAUGUGGUACGAUACGAGGCCGAGGGACACAGAGUAGAUUUUAAUUUUAAGAUGAAGAGAGCGUUGUUUCAGUCGUUUAUUUGCGCGUAUUACGUGGGCUUCAUUCCUAUGAGAUUUUCAAAACGUUUUUAUGUGUAUUAUGAUUUGUGGUGGUCAUGUCAACAUGUUGUAUUUAUAUGGAUUGGCUCCCUCAUACUGCUCAUGAAAUACCUGGCU